CGRGCUCUCCCAAAUUGAUUUUAUGCUUGCAUAAAUGAUUUUUGGAUUCGGAGCGAGUGGCGAACUGGUGAGUAACACGUGGGUAACCUGCCCCGAAGCGGGGGAUAACAUUUGGAAACAAGUGCUAAUACCGCAUAAUUAGUUGGAACCGCAUGGUUCCAMUUGGAAAGAUGGCUCUGCUAUCACUUUGGGAUGGACCCGCGCCGUAUUAGUUAGUUGGUGAGAUAAAAGCCCACCAAGACGAUGAUACGUAGCCGACCUGAGAGGGUAAUCGGCCACAUUGGGACUGAGACAGGCCCAGACUCCUACGGGAGGCAGCARUAGGGAAUCUUCCACAAUGGACGAAAGUCUGAUGGAGCAAMGCCGCGUGAGUGAUGAAGGUUUUCCGGAUCGUAAAACUCUGUUGUUAAAGAAGAACAAGUGUUAGAGUAACUGUUMACAAUUUGACGGUAUUUAACCAGAAAGCCACGGCUAACUACGUGCCAACAGCCGCGGUAAUACGUAGGUGGGCAAAAGUUGUCCGGAUUUNUUGGGGCGU
Molecule: ribosomal RNA, 538 nt
Filed under: Lactobacillus sp. Am 09
Lineage: Bacteria; Bacillati; Bacillota; Bacilli; Lactobacillales; Lactobacillaceae
Description: bacterial SSU rRNA
Rfam family: Bacterial small subunit ribosomal RNA
Source: RNAcentral